GGCCGAUUGUGCGACUUACUUAGCAAAAAAAUUCACUUUACCAAUCUACACCCUCACUCCGUUCGUCGCCGACGCCGUUGCUCGCCGCAUCUGUGAGACUCCAUCGCCAUCGCCAUCGCCUUAACAAGUCCCAAGUCCCAAGUCCCAAAUCGAAGCUGCUCUCUGCCUCUCCGGCCUCCGCCAGUCCGCCGCGCUGUACGUCUCCUGUCGGCUGUGUCCUGCCGUGCUGGUUCAUCGCUGGCGAGUGUCGAAGACGAAGCACCAAGAUCUCACUAGUUCAUCGCUGGUUCAUCACUGCUCAUCUCUGGCUCACUUAGGUGCUAAGUGUGGCCCAGACAACUGAUUAUCUUUGAAUUUGGUAUAUUCGUCUCCGGCACUUCAAACGCACUUGGAAACUAGAAGUUUAUUAUAGAUCUAGCUUAGUAUAUCAAGUUAAUUUAGUUAACAAUUGUUGUAGUGGGUAGUGCCUUGAAAAUCUUGUCCAAAAUGACUCAUCCUUAGUGGAUCAUAGACCACUCUUUAUAUCUUAGCUGCUACCUUUAUUCAACAGAUUUGUGGUGGAUUCAGUAACAUGCUCUAGGUCUCAAAUCUUUGCUAGCAGUAUAUGAAUUAUGAUUCAAUGCAUAUGCAUCACAGACACCUAAAUCAGUUUUGUCCUAUUGUUGAUCACCUUCUGGGCAUAUGUAAAUGGCAUCUUGUUCUGA
Coffea eugenioides is the source of this 704-nucleotide long non-coding RNA. RefSeq lists it as uncharacterized. NCBI's taxonomy places the organism in Eukaryota, Viridiplantae, Streptophyta, Magnoliopsida, Gentianales, Rubiaceae. The transcript is spliced from 2 exons. The record is from RefSeq and is a predicted model, not a curated record.